UGGUGGGUAGUUUGACUGGGGCGGUCUCCUCCUAAAGAGUAACGGAGGAGCACGAAGGUUGGCUAAUCCUGGUCGGACAUCAGGAGGUUAGUGCAAUGGCAUAAGCCAGCUUGACUGCGAGCGUGACGGCGCGAGCAGGUGCGAAAGCAGGUCAUAGUGAUCCGGUGGUUCUGAAUGGAAGGGCCAUCGCUCAACGGAUAAAAGGUACUCCGGGGAUAACAGGCUGAUACCGCCCAAGAGUUCAUAUCGACGGCGGUGUUUGGCACCUCGAUGUCGGCUCAUCACAUCCUGGGGCUGAAGUAGGUCCCAAGGGUAUGGCUGUUCGCCAUUUAAAGUGGUACGCGAGCUGGGUUUAGAACGUCGUGAGACAGUUCGGUCCCUAUCUGCCGUGGGCGCUGGAGAACUGAGGGGGGCUGCUCCUAGUACGAGAGGACCGGAGUGGACGCAUCACUGGUGUUCGGGUUGUCAUGCCAAUGGCACUGCCCGGUAGCUAAAUGCGGAAGAGAUAAGUGCUGAAAGCAUCUAAGCACGAAACUUGCCCCGAGAUGAGUUCUCCCUGAGACUUUAAGUCUCCUGAAGGAACGUUGAAGACGACGACGUUGAUAGGCCGGGUGUGUAAGCGCAGCGAUGCGUUGAG
This 637-nucleotide ribosomal RNA is filed under the name Salmonella enterica subsp. enterica serovar Infantis. Its description in RNAcentral is "partial 23S ribosomal RNA". It matches the Rfam family "Bacterial large subunit ribosomal RNA", at positions 2259 to 2890 of the family's 2925-position model. The record is from RNAcentral. Lineage: Bacteria; Pseudomonadati; Pseudomonadota; Gammaproteobacteria; Enterobacterales; Enterobacteriaceae.